Molecule: ribosomal RNA, 254 nt
Filed under: uncultured bacterium
Lineage: Bacteria
Description: partial 16S ribosomal RNA
Rfam family: Bacterial small subunit ribosomal RNA
Source: RNAcentral
UACGGGGGGAGCAAGCGUUGUUCGGAUUUACUGGGCGUAAAGGGCGCGUAGGCGGCCACCGCAAGUCACUUGUGAAAUCUCCGGGCUUAACCCGGAAAGGUCAACUGAUACUGCGGGGCUAGAGUGCAGAAGGGGCAACUGGAAUUCUCGGUGUAGCGGUGAAAUGCGUAGAUAUCGAGAGGAACACCUGCGGCGAAGGCGGGUUGCUGGGCUGACACUGACGCUGAGGCGCGAAAGCUAGGGGAGCGAACGGG